UGAGAAAGUACAUGCGGGGUGGCCUGGCGUGGAAGGCGCGGUCGAGCUCUUCACCCAAGGAUCU
RNAcentral lists this non-coding RNA (64 nucleotides) under Gonyaulax spinifera. The record is from RNAcentral. Lineage: Eukaryota; Dinophyceae; Gonyaulacales; Gonyaulacaceae.